RNAcentral lists this small RNA (1532 nucleotides) under Arabidopsis thaliana (thale cress). RNAcentral describes it as "ATSL210630". The record is from RNAcentral. Lineage: Eukaryota; Viridiplantae; Streptophyta; Magnoliopsida; Brassicales; Brassicaceae.
UAAAUUUAAUAUUUUAAUAUUGUUUAAGACAUCCUCUUUCUAUUGUGCAGUGGAGGUGCUCUUAAGUGUUCUUACCAAUAGAAUAUGCUCUAAAAUAUUACAUAAAUAAUAAUUUUCUCAACUAUUUUAUUUAUUUAUUUUUGUUAACAACUUUAUUAGAUUACUAAAACAAGCUAGUUUUGGAGAAUAUUAUUUACAUAAGUUAUAAUAUGCGGUUGAUUACGAACAGUUCAUGCCAAUUUAUCCACUUUUAUAUUCGCAUUACAAGACACCAAAAAUAAAGAAAAAUUAUAAAACUCAUAGUUGUCACCCUAAAUCGCUUCAAGGUAUGUUAAGAAGGCUGGCCACUUUGUCGGAGAAGACACUAUCUUAACCAGAUCUGACCAAUCUAUUCAAACGUUACCUUUCGCUUCUUUUGGCUAACAGAGUGUUUCUUUAGGUAUAUCAAUCAAGUUUUAGCUACUUCAAAGUAACUACGAAGUCCCUAAAAAUUUUCACAGCCCAAACCUUUUUUCCUACGUUUGUAUAUGUUCUUUGAAAAAAAAUAUUCCUCCAUGGUUUCGAAUAGUGCAAGCGAAUCAAGCGGUACGGAGCAGGCAAAUCAAGCAGUUCAUGCAGUCAACUGUGGAUCAAGCGUAUUAGGCGGAUCAAGUUAAAAAAGUGCGGAUCAAGCAGUUAAAAAUCUAUGUUGAGUGGUGAAAUAAUAGAAAAGCGGUUUAAGUAGUAAAAAUAAUUACAAAAUAUUGAAAGUUAAUAUUUUAAAUAAAAUAAAAAUAGAUUAAAGAAUAUACGUUGGUUUCUUCGGACAAAGAAAGAACCCUUGAAAGUUCUCUAAAAUCCGCUGGAAGAAAAAAAUGAAAUGUUAAGAGUACCAACCAUGGGGAAAAAAGUGACCUUUUUAGAUCUUGAAAGCGAAAAAAAAUAAAAGGAUUAAAACCUAUAGCUACUAGGUCUUAAGCUUCUCACCUUGAUAUACGGUGGUUGCUUCGGAGAAAGAGCCCUGGAAAGCUCUCCAAAGUCCUUUGGACGACAAUAGGAAAGCUAGAGAAAUGUGAGAGUGACUACUGCAAACUUGAAGGAGAAGAAUGGGCCGGAAAUAACGAUAAUACCCUUGAUCUUUACAAUCCUUAUCUUGUUUUAGAAGUCUUAUAACACGUGGACAAAGAGAAGCAUAGAAAAAACACUACUUACAACUAUAUAUUUAAUUAAAUACACUAAAAAUACUAAACCCUAUAUUUCUAAAGUUACGUUCUUUCUAUUUUCACGUAUUUGUUUUUUGUUUUUUUCCUUUCCUCAAUUGUUAAAAGCAUCUUAAUAUACAAUUUUUUUCUCUAUGUCUUAUGCAUAAAUAUGUUAAAUUCUAAAAUUAGUUUUUGUCAUGACACCAGUUUAAUUUAUUAUACUUCUAAACUUAAAUCUAAAAUUAAUACUAGAUUUUAACAUGUUUUGUUUAGGAGAAAAAGGAAGAAAGAAAGACUAAUAGUAUGAGUGGAAAAUUUUCUUUUUAAAACUGAAAGUUAUUUUAAUAUAUA